Long non-coding RNA from Brienomyrus brachyistius, 595 nucleotides. RefSeq lists it as uncharacterized. NCBI's taxonomy places the organism in Eukaryota, Metazoa, Chordata, Actinopteri, Osteoglossiformes, Mormyridae. The transcript is spliced from 3 exons. The record is from RefSeq and is a predicted model, not a curated record.
AUGUUCUUAUAUGCAUGUUGUAAUGAGAUGAUGAUAUUCAUAAACAUUUCAUUGCUAUGCAAAUCUUUGAGUGUUUUACCUGUGUGUUCAGGUCCUCCAGGGCUGUCAGUGGACAAACAGGAGGUGACGGGUGUGGAUGGAGACAGUGUCAGUGUUACUAUGGAAACAACAAAAGACAUAGGAUGUGGUGUAAGAUUGGGGGUUCCUGUGCAUCAGAGAGAUCAGCGAGAUUGGAUGGGAGGCCUGUCCUGAUCAGGGAUGAAACAGAAAAUAAAACCUUCAUUGUGACAAUGAGUGGGCUGGAGAGGAAGGACACUGGCUGGUAUUGGUGUGCUGCUGGAAACCUGCAGAUUCCAGUUCAUAUAACUGUCAAACAAGGAGGGGAUAAUGAAAAACUGAGGUGGGAGCAGGUUCUGGAUGCUGUACUGAAAGCUGGGACUGGUGUGUUUUAUCUGAUUUGCACCAUCAUCACCAAUCAGCUGCACUGGACCUCCUGUAGAAAGCGGGAACCAAUCAGAGAGAAGCAGAGGGUCUCCCUGUGUUAGAGGAAGCUGGCAGAGGAGAUGACCUUCGUGGAGCAGAAUGAGUCAGACGA